Molecule: ribosomal RNA, 115 nt
Filed under: Parcubacteria group bacterium CG1_02_40_25
Lineage: Bacteria
Also listed under: 3 other names
Source: RNAcentral
GGUGGCGGCUAUACUGGACUUGUCCCACCUGUUCCCAUCUCGAACACAGAAGUGAAAUGGUCCAAGGCCGAUGAUAGUAAGUCCUCGGACUUGCGAAAGUAGGUAGCUGCCACCA